UCGGGAGUGAGAUACAGAGGCUUCCCGCACCGGAUAAGAUCAUUGGGGCAUUUGAUAACCCUGAUGAUCCUGGGCUUGCAUGAGGAGUUUAUGCAUUGCCAUAUUCUGAAUUGCGAUGUCUCUCAUAUCCACAGCUAUCUGAGCCAUUCCAUCAGUGAGUAUGGUUGUUUUUCCACCUCGGGGACGCCGGUGAUGUGGUCUCUGAUGAGUAACAUUGUUAUUGAGUACCUCUUCUUCAGAGGCCUCUCUCAUGGGGUUGUCGCCUUCAUGGCUAUAACUCAUCCUAUCUCCUUUUUCAACGGUAGUGAGAACUUGGAUUGUAACUUGACUUUGUUCUUUCUCAAGAACG
Molecule: long non-coding RNA, 349 nt
Filed under: Olea europaea (common olive)
Lineage: Eukaryota; Viridiplantae; Streptophyta; Magnoliopsida; Lamiales; Oleaceae
Description: long non-coding RNA (OEUR_LNC000481)
Source: RNAcentral